Long non-coding RNA from Lolium rigidum, 1147 nucleotides. RefSeq lists it as uncharacterized. The transcript has 2 exons. The record is from RefSeq and is a predicted model, not a curated record. NCBI's taxonomy places the organism in Eukaryota, Viridiplantae, Streptophyta, Magnoliopsida, Poales, Poaceae.
CCUUCGAAGUUUAAUUUGUACCCUGAGAUUGCUAAUAUGAAAGUGUGAUCACAGCCUCGGAAAAUUCUUGACAUACCAAAACUACAUUCUUCGGAGAGCAUUCGCAGGCAUGUGUCUAUUUACUAAUUUACAUCAAACCUCAUGAAAAUUGAACUUGCUUUAGAUUUUGGAAAAUCAUAUUUCAGGACCUACAUAAUCUAUUUAUGGGUAUCGUAUUUGAGUGCAGAAUGUGGAAGUGGCUAGGUUUCUGUCUCUACUUACCGAUAUGCCAAGUUGUGGGAUAUACAGUACUGCCAUGUUGCAUUUGAACAAAUAAAUUACACUGCCCCUGCUGAGUAUCCUUGUCAUGGAUGUUUUCAGAACAUAUACAUAUCAAUUUGUUGGUCUCGGUAUAUGACACGCCAAAUCUUUUUUCCUUUGUCCAAUUGGUACAGAGCUAGGCAUCCCUGUCUAAAACUACCUACAUUUUAAUUUAUUCACCAAUGGAGGCAACUCUCAGACUUGGGUUUUGUUGGUAUUCUAUACCACCGAAAAAUGGGUUGUGCAUGUUUCUUAAAUAGGCAUUGUGUAAAUUUAUAAGUGCUGGCGUACCUGGAGCGCUUUGGUCCGUCCUUGCUCCGGCUCUCUGCUUCAGACACAGAUUUGUGCAGCUCUUCGGGUGAGCUGUUUGCGCAUGGUAUGGCUGGGGCACCAUACCGUGCCACGGUCGCUGGAGUGCAUGAACGCUACUAUUUCUCCGUAUAUUUUACAUGCCCCCUUUUAUUGGAGUUUUUGGUGCCUGCAGAGUUUAUAUGACUGAGGUGCAAGCAUUGUCAGUACUGGAUAACAGGUGUUUUGCUUUUGUACUAAUGCGGACUAGGAUCUCAAGCAGCUACAUCCAGAUGUCUGCAUAUGAUAGCUACAGAUGUUCGAUGCUCAGGCUACCUAGAAGAGUUUUAUCAGCCGUUAGUUUCAUGUUAACCUGCAAGAUCUGAUGCACUAUGAGAAAACACUGUCUAUAUAGUAGUGCACCUAUGAUACAUCAAUUUUUCAUCAGUACUUGGUUUCAUGUUAUGCUGUGGUCAGCAGUUCUCUUGUGUAGUUCAUGUUUUUUUCUCCAUAAUUGUAAUGUAAUCAGUAUGUGUUGAGGACUACCUAUCGACUCUUU